Sardina pilchardus (European sardine) is the source of this 764-nucleotide long non-coding RNA. RefSeq lists it as uncharacterized. Lineage: Eukaryota; Metazoa; Chordata; Actinopteri; Clupeiformes; Clupeidae. The transcript has 5 exons. The record is from RefSeq and is a predicted model, not a curated record.
AUUAAAAUUCUGAUAAAAAAAAAAUCACAUAAAUGUUCACGUAAAGGAGACAGGAGUGAACUCUGCGCAUGUACAAGAGGAACGGAGGCGGGAAGCCGUAGCCGAGCCCAUUUCGAACUUUGUUUGAAACACACAGUCAGUUGAAGCCGUUGAAGAACAGCGUGAAGAUGGAACCUGCUACUGAGCACAUCAACUCUUAAGUGUGUCCCUGGAAGAUCUACCAUCAACUUCCAGAACUGCAACUGCUAGUACUGUCAGAUGGUGAAUGCUACUCAGGCAAACACCAUUGUUACACCACUUUGAAGGAGAGCCUGGUCAUUUGGUCCCCUCAGCUUCUCCCUUUCUCAGUGAUAUGUUCAUUGUGGCUGGGAUAAUUGUGGGGCACUCUUUCCUUCAUGGAGGACCCUGCUUGUCUGGACUCUGUGAUGUGGUUGUCCAUACUGCUUCGUGGGAGCCCAGACACGGCUACAGUAAACCUGGAGGACUGUGCAGACCUGGACAUUAGAGAAACAAUCAGGCUUCUGGAGGUGGAAUCAAACCUAUCAGCUGAAGAAAUGGGAAGGCACAGAACGUGGCCUCUUCCUGGGACCUCCCUCCGCUAACCACAACCAACAGGGCCCUUAAUGCUCUGCGGUGAAAAAUGGAGCAACAAGGCUGACCGUGACAUCGGGAGAGCUGAGGCAGAUCAUCUUAAACAUGAUGCACCUGGACGGUCCGGUGGCGGAGACUUCAAGAAUUAAAUAAAAUUACAAUGAAAUGGAUAA